GUCGUUGCAGUUACCCCAUCGAGCUGGUGGAGGACGCCGCGAACUCCGGUGGCCAUGGCGACAUGCAAGACAUGGGUUGUCCUCACUUGCUGCCGCGUGGGGGUGGCCGACUAAGCAUGCUGUCGUCGUCGAAAACCAACCGCGAAGCUCGGCGAGGACUAGGAGAAGCAGGCGUUGGCGGCCAUGGGAGUGGGUGGCGGUUGUUUUCUUCGGUGGUGGAUCCAGCAACUUAGGAGCUGGGAGCAGCCGGGGCAGGGUGGUCGCUGGGGUGGGCGGCGCUGGGUGGUGNNNN
This 292-nucleotide long non-coding RNA is filed under the name Hordeum vulgare. RNAcentral describes it as "long non-coding RNA (HVUL_LNC018306)". The record is from RNAcentral. Lineage: Eukaryota; Viridiplantae; Streptophyta; Magnoliopsida; Poales; Poaceae.